Molecule: ribosomal RNA, 4887 nt
Filed under: Triticum aestivum (bread wheat)
Lineage: Eukaryota; Viridiplantae; Streptophyta; Magnoliopsida; Poales; Poaceae
Description: partial small subunit ribosomal RNA
Source: RNAcentral
AUGGCCAUGGCCAUGGCCGACGACGACGGCCCCAUCCCCCCGCCUCCGCCGCCGCCGCCGCCUCGCCGCCCCCACAGGCAGCUCCAGCCGAGGAGGUACCAGGUGGAGGUGUUCGAGGCGGCGCUGCAGGGGAACACCAUCGCGGUGCUCGACACCGGCUCCGGAAAGACCAUGGUCGCCGUCCUGCUCGCGCGCCACCACGUGGGCCGCGUGCGCGCCGGGGAGGUGCCCCGCCGGAUCGUCGUCUUCCUCGCGCCCACCGUGCACCUCGUCCACCAGCAAUUCGAGGUGAUUCGGGAGUACACGGACCUCGACGCCGCUGAGUGCUACGGAGCUUCGGGGGUCGGCGACUGGAGUACCGACCGCUGGAACAAGGAAGUUGGGAGCAAGGAGAUUGCUGUUAUGACGCCCCAGAUAUUGUUGGAUGCCCUGAGGCAUGCCUUUGUAACAAUGAGUGCAGUGAGCCUGCUAAUAUUUGAUGAAUGCCAUCGUGCCUGUGGAAACCACCCAUAUACACGAAUAAUGAAGGAAUUUUACCUUGGCUCUCAGUGGAGGCCAGCUGUAUUUGGAAUGACAGCAUCUCCUGUUGCUACUAAAGGCACUUGCACGGUACAAGAUUGUGAAGCACACAUUGGUCAACUUGAACUUACAUUGGAUGCGAAGGUAUAUAUCAUAAAAGAUCGUAGUGAACUUGAGAGCUUUUCCCCUCCUGCAACAAUUGUGAACAAAUACUAUGAUGCUUACUCGAUUGAUUUCGAAGAUCUGAAAUCGAAGCUCCAGAUAUUGUAUGAAGAGUAUGAUGCUUUGUUGGCUAGUCUGCAAGAAUCGUCACCAAAUAAAUUUGAAGACACGAAUAACAUAUUAGAGACAUCAAGAAAGACCUUGUUCAGAUACCAUGAGAAGAUAUUUUAUGGCCUAAAUUAUCUUGGUCCAAUCAUCACCGCUGAGGUAGUGAAGAUAUAUAAUGAAAGCAUUAAGACACUGGGUGAUUCUGAAGAUUGCCUCUUCUCGAAAGCUAGCUUCAGCCUGCAUGUAGCUUAUUUUAAAGAAGCUUUAGAUUUAGUUGAGGAAGUAUUGCCACAUGGUUAUGGUGAACUAAUGAAAUCAGAAUCUGGUUCUGCGGAAUUAAUUAAAAGCGGGUAUAUUUCUUCAAAAGUGGAUGCUCUAAUCAACAUUUUUAAAUCAUUUGGGUCAUCAAACGAAGUGCUUUGCCUAAUUUUUGUAGAAAGAAUUAUGACAGCUAAAGCUGUUGAGAGGUUCAUGAGAGGAAUUGUUAAUUUCUCUAGUUUUUCAAUUUCUUACUUGACUGGAGGGAGUACAUCAAAAGAUUCUCUGAGCCCAGCAGUGCAGAGAUAUACUUUGGACUUGUUCCGAUCUGGAAAGGUGAACUUGCUUUUCACCACAGAUGUAACUGAAGAGGGUAUUGAUGUACCUAACUGUUCUUGUGUCAUACGCUUCGACCUGCCCAGAACUGUUUGUAGCUACGUUCAAUCUCGUGGUCGUGCCAGAAGGAGCAGCUCAAAUUAUGUUCUUAUGAUUGAGAGGGGAAACAUGGAUCAGCAGGAACACAUAUUCCGCAUAAUACAGACUGAGUACUAUAUUAAACACUUCGCUCUGUAUAGGCACAGAAACCCCAAUGUUUCAUCCUCUGAGUGGCCUAUGCAAGAUAAGUAUGCAUACCAUGUUGAUUCAACAGGAGCAACUAUAACUGCAGACUGCUGUGUUGAUCUGAUCCGUAAAUAUUGUGAGAAACUUCCUAAAGAUAGGUAUUACAUUCCAAAGCCUUCCUUUGCGGUGGCUAUCGAAGAUGGAUCAUACCAAUGCACCUUGACUUUGCCUCCAAAUGCGGCGUUUCAAAGGAUAGUUGGCCCUUUAUGCAGUACAAGUAAUUUAGCCAAGCAGCUUGUAUCCCUAGAUGCGUGCAAGAAAUUGCAUCAGCUAGGAGAACUCAAUGAUCAUCUUCUACCCUUCACCGAAGAACCUAUUGAUAUUGAUGUUGCUUUAAGAGAUGGGAAAUUCCUUUCUGGACCAGGAACGACUAAAAGAAAGGAGCUCCAUGGAACAAGAAAUGUUCUUGCCCUGUCAGGAUCGUGGAUUCAUGAAAGUGAAAGUGUCACAUUGAAUGCUUAUAGAUUCGAUUUUCUUUGUGACCAAGAGGGUGAAAACUAUGCUGGGUUUGUUCUCUUAAUGGAAUCAGCACUUGAUGAUGAUGUAGCUUGUUCAAAAAUGGAUCUAUUCCUGAUCCCUAAUAAAAUGGUCUACACCACCGUAACUCCGUGUGGAAAAGUUCAACUGGACAAAAAACAGCUACGUGACGGGAAGUUGUUCCAAGAAUUCUUUUUCAAUGGAAUAUUUGGUAGAUUAUUUCAUGGAUCUCGAACAAGUGGAGUGCAAAGGGAAUUUCUUUUCAGAAAAGGUCAUGAAAUACAAUGGAGCUCACAGAGCAUGUACUUACUUUUACCUUUGAGGCAUUCACCACACAUCCAGCAAGAUUUAAACAUAUACUGGGAGGCAGUUGAAUCCUGCACCCAGGCGGUGGAGCAGUUGAGAAAUUUGUAUCUGGAAGAUGAAAAUAUCCGUGCAAAUUUUAUUCAACAUAGAAGUAUCAAGGAGAAAGACAUUAUUCAUCUGGCCAACAAAUCUCUUCAUUUUUCUAGCAUCAAAGAUUCAGUUGUGCUAUCGCUUCAUACUGGAAGGAUAUACUCUGUUCUUGACUUGAUCUAUGGCACAACUGCUGAAGACUCGUUUGAAGAGAUGUAUAAUGGAAAAGCUUCACCGUUUUCUUCAUUCGUGGACUACUACCGUGAAAAGUAUGGUAUUGUUAUUCAACAUCCAAAACAACCGUUGUUGCUGUUAAAGCAAAGCCACAAUGCACACAAUCUUCUUUUUUCAAAAUCGAAGUACAUAGAUGGUUCUACGGGCGAUCCUUUGCUCAUGGAAAAAGAGCAAAUACACGCCCGGGUCCCACCUGAAUUGUUAAUCCACAUUGAUGUGACAAUUGAAGUUCUCAAAUCUUUUUAUUUAUUGCCUUCUGUAAUGCAUCGACUUCAGUCUCUCAUGCUAGCCAGCCAGCUCCGCAGAGAUAUUGGUUACACUCAACAUAUACCAAGUUACCUGAUUUUGGAAGCUAUCACAACUUUAAGGUGCUGCGAAACAUUUUCCCUGGAGCGUUUAGAACUAUUGGGAGACUCAGUACUAAAAUAUGUGAUAGGAUGUGACCUGUUUUUAAGGUAUCCUAUGAAACAUGAAGGUCAUCUUUCUGAUAUGAGAUCAAAUGCUGUCUGCAAUGCUACACUUCAUAAGCACGGAAUCUGGCGAUCCUUGCAGGGUUACGUGCGGGAUAGUGCAUUUGACCCACGGCGUUGGGUUGCUCCUGGGCAGAUAUCUUUGCGCCCUUUUCCUUGUAACUGCAGAAUUGAGACUGCAUUUGUUCCAAGUAAUGGAAGGUAUAUCAGCGACGACCCAUCUUUUGUCGUUGGAAAACCAUGUGAUAGAGCUCACAGAUGGAUGUGCUCGAAAGCAAUAUCUGAUUGUGUUGAAGCCCUAGUUGGAGCAUAUUAUGUCGGUGGUGGCAUAGUUGGUGCACUUUGGGUUAUGAAGUGGUUCGGUAUUGAAAUAAAAUGUGAUAGGAAGUUGGUACAGGAAGUAAAGCUCAAUGCGUCUUAUAUAUGCUACUUACCUAAAAUAAGUGUUAUUGAGGAGUUGGAAGCAAAACUGAAGUACAACUUCUCAGUCAAGGGCCUUCUACUGGAAGCCAUAACUCAUCCAUCUCUGCAGGAAUUAGGGGCUGACUACUGUUACCAGCGUUUGGAAUUUCUGGGUGAUUCUGUGCUGGAUCUACUAAUUACACGCUAUCUGUAUGUUACCCAUACUGAUGUUGAUCCUGGAGAAUUGACAGACCUACGUUCCGCUUUGGUUAGCAAUGAGAAUUUUGCAGAAGUAGUUUUAAGAAAUAACAUUCACAGUCAUCUACAGCAUGGGUCUGGAAUACUUUUGGAGCAAAUCACAGAAUAUGUUAGAUCCAAUUUGGAGUGCCAAGGGAAGGUUAAUAAAUUCCUUCAACAUGCUACAUGUAAAGUACCUAAGGUGCUUGGAGACAUUAUGGAAAGCAUUGCCGGUGCAAUAUUUGUAGACACAGAUUUUAAUGUUGAUGUGGUUUGGAAGAUUGUUGAACCGUUGCUUUCCCCAAUGAUAACCCCUGAUAAUCUUGUAUUGCCACCUUAUCGGGAGUUGUUAGAGCUGUGUAGUCACCUUGGUUAUUUCAUAAAUUCAAAAUGCAGUAGUAAAGGAGAAGAAGUAAUUAUAGAGAUGUCAGUGCAAUUACGAGAUGAACUGCUGAUAGCGCAAGGACAAGACAGAAAUAAGAAGAGUGCAAAGUCAAAAGCAGCAGCUCGUAUAUUGGCAGAUCUGAAGAAAAGAGGCCUUUCAAUGAAACAAUGUUCUUCUAAAGCUAAGCAGUUGGAUAUUAUAUCUUCGGACCAGCAGUAUCCUUUGGCAAGUUUGGAAUCACCACUUGAUUAUUGUCACGUGGAUGCCAAUCCUAGCCUAGGAGGCCUUCCCUCACUGAAAGAAGCAGUUGUUCUUCGGCUUAAACUGGACAAAGGUGGACCACGGAGUGCUCUUUUUAAGCUAUGCAAGAGGUUGCAGUGGCCAAUGCCAGAAUUCGAAUUUGUGGAACAAAGGUUCAGGACUCCUAUUGUUCUGGACGGGGUAACCACAACGAACUUCAAUAGCUUCGUGUCAACCAUCACCUUGCACAUACCUGAUGUAACAGCCAUUACACUUCAAGGCGAGCGGCGAACUGACAAAAAGAGUUCCCAGGAUUCAGCAUCGCUGAUAAUGCUCCACAAGCUUCAAGAGCUCAAGGUCUGUAUAUGCAAGACUUAG